This 301-nucleotide ribosomal RNA is filed under the name uncultured bacterium. Its description in RNAcentral is "partial 16S ribosomal RNA". It matches the Rfam family "Bacterial small subunit ribosomal RNA", at positions 509 to 807 of the family's 1533-position model. The record is from RNAcentral.
CAGCAGCCGCGGGAAUACGAGGGGUGCAAGCGUUACUCGGAAUUACUGGGCGUAAAGCGUGUGUAGGUGGUUGUUUAAGUCUGUCGUGAAAGCCCUGGGCUCAACCUGGGAAUUGCGAUGGAUACUGGGCGACUAGAGUGCGGUAGAGGAUAGUGGAAUUUCCGGUGUAGCGGUGAAAUGCGUAGAGAUCGGGAGGAACAUCAGUGGCGAAGGCGGCCAUCUGGGACAACACUGACGCUGAGGCACGAAAGCGUGGGGAGCAAACAGGAUUAGAUACCCGCGUAGUCCCUGUCUCUUAUAC